RNAcentral lists this transfer RNA (68 nucleotides) under Uropeltis ellioti (Elliot's earth snake). RNAcentral's name for it is "tRNA-His". Lineage: Eukaryota; Metazoa; Chordata; Lepidosauria; Squamata; Uropeltidae. The record is from RNAcentral.
GUGUUUGUAAUUUAAAUAAAAUAUCAAGCUGUGACCUUGAACAUAGAGACCCCCCCCCUCUCCACACC